GUGAUUGCAGAUUCAGUGAAUCAUCCGAAUCCUUUUGAACGCACAUUUUGCGCCCCUGGUAUUUCCGGGGGGCAUGCCUGUUCGAGCGUCAUUCUCACCACUCAAGCCUCGCUUGGUAUUGGGCAACGCGGUCCGCCGCGUGCCUCAAAUCGUCCGGCUGGGUCUUCUGUCCCCUAAGCGUUGUGGAAACUAUUCGCUAAAGGGUGUUCGGGAGGCUACGCCGUAAAACAACCCCAUUUCUAAGGUUGACCUCGGAUCAGGUAGGGAUACCCGCUGAACUUAAGCAUAUCAUAAAACGGA
This 300-nucleotide unclassified non-coding RNA is filed under the name Cladosporium macrocarpum. Its description in RNAcentral is "sequence contains ITS2". Lineage: Eukaryota; Fungi; Ascomycota; Dothideomycetes; Cladosporiales; Cladosporiaceae. The record is from RNAcentral.